GGCCGGUCUGAAGGUAUUGCGUUAUCUCAGUCAGUUAUUCACAGUUGGUUACAGAUCAAACUCCUUGUUCUACUCUUCUCCCCUUCUCACUACUGCACUUGACUGGUCUAUU
RNAcentral lists this Y RNA (112 nucleotides) under Prolemur simus (greater bamboo lemur). RNAcentral's name for it is "Y RNA (ENSPSMG00000005455.1)". It matches the Rfam family "Y RNA". From Rfam's summary of the family: Y RNAs are components of the Ro ribonucleoprotein particle (Ro RNP), in association with Ro60 and La proteins. The record is from Rfam by way of RNAcentral. Lineage: Eukaryota; Metazoa; Chordata; Mammalia; Primates; Lemuridae.